RNAcentral lists this long non-coding RNA (2185 nucleotides) under Manihot esculenta (cassava). RNAcentral describes it as "long non-coding RNA (MESC_LNC007950)". Lineage: Eukaryota; Viridiplantae; Streptophyta; Magnoliopsida; Malpighiales; Euphorbiaceae. The record is from RNAcentral.
UAUUAAAAUCACAUAAAACACUAACAUUAACAGAAAUCAUACCUCAGAUUUGUCAAGGUAGCUUUAAUGAUGUUCCAAGUGUCUUUGUGAUAGCACUUACUUGUAAGCAACGUGUAUGUAUGAUGUAUUUGCAUAUGAGUGGACUGUAUAGGGACAGGUGCAAGCAAAAUGUUGCCUCUUUUACAAGACAAACACAUGGAAUGGUGCAGUCAAUUCACCCAAAAUGUAUAUGAAACAUUUCCUCUUAUGUUAAAAUUGCUUUCGGGAAAGCUUCUUUGUGACUGCCAAUCAACUAAACUCAAUGCUUUUGUACAAAUAGCAAAUAAAAUAACAUCCACACAACUAACUAUAUUAACUUAUAUCAUCCUUAUUUUUUUAAAAAUUAGUUAGGACGGUUUUUUUAAAAUUUAUUAUAACUAUAAAAAAUAAAGAGAAUUAAAAAAAAAAGAACUUUGAUUAAUGUAAAUGUGCGAGAAAGAUAUCGGCCUAUGGACAGUUAUGUGGGGCCUUCACUUUCAUUUUUUUUCCACUUCUCUCUUCAAUAACCUAACCCAGUCACUUUCAUUUUUUUCCACUUCUCUCUUCAAUAACCUAACCCAGUCACUUUCUUUCUAAGCAAACUUCCACAAGCAACCACAAGGAAUCUCUAGCAAAAACAACCCCCUUCUCUUUCACCAUAGUUUGAUCAGUGAUCAUUACCGUUGGCCAAGAUUUAUCCAAAGUAACACUAUAGCAAUCAAACAUACAGAUUAUAAAAAUCUAAAAGAAAUCACAACAGGAAACCUAUGAAACAAGGCAUGCUCUUAAGUGGGUCCAUCUGGACCCACACCCUAAUUGUCACCUUUUGCAAAGAUAAGAUCACAAGCCAUGCAUCAUAUCAUACUUGUUAAGUGAUAUCAUUAGGGCUUAGUGCUUAAUAAUUGCUAAUGCUUAAUAAUUGCUAGUGCUUACAAAUAUUCAGUAAAUAGUCAAAGAAAUCAGUAGGAACCUACUUGUGGUUUACCAUUUGCCUAAUUUGUUAAAGAAACUGAAUUUGACUAGAUUGCAGUACAUUUUCUUGAGCUGGAGCACAGCUCUUAUGAAACCAAUUAGAGUGGCUAAUACACUGUUUUUUUCUGGAAUAGCAAGCACUUCCAAUGACAUUAUAUUGGGUAUGAGAACCAGACAUGAAAAUGAAUUGUUUGUUUCCAUGUUGAAGUUGAACAGACAUAUUAACUUGUUAACAGAUUUUUAUGCAGUGUUCAUAGUUAUGGUUAGCAAAUUGUCUUUAUAAAGUGCUAAUGGGGCAGCAAGGGAGUUAUUUGGUUGCCUUUAAGCUAAUCCUCGACAUAACUUGUUUUUGGAUGGUUUAAUUCUUGACUGAAAACCAGCUAUAUAUGUGUCUAGGAUAACAUGCUAAAAAGCUGCAUAAAUAACACUAUAGUAAAUUUCAAAAAAAAAAAAGAGAAAUUAAAUGCACCUUAAAUGCUAACACAAGGGAGCAAGGUAAUCAAAUGCAGCAGAUGACAAACAGUGACUUCUUCAGUUUCACAUCAAAGCUUCUGCAGAAGUCGUUCAAAAUCAGGUAAGCCAAAAGUGAUGUAUCUAAGACUCUUAGUACAAUAGCUAGACUCACCAUAUUGGCUUCUCAAAAUUCCUAAUUUCACACAAUUCUUGGAAUCACACUCUUUCAACACAUUUAUAUAAAAAAAAUCAAAUAUAACUUCUAAAUUUAAGAAAUAGAAAAAAAAAAUCAAAGGAAUCAAAGUGAUAAAGUAAAUAUUCAAAUUUACAAAGUAAGGAUUCACUUACAGAGUUAAGGAGAGAGAAGCAAUAGAAAUCCAAGAGAGAAAGCGAAGGAGUGAGUGAGCGAGAGCGAGCGAGAGCGAGCGAGCGAGAGAGAGCAGGGAGGAGAGGAGAAGGGGGAGAGAGAGCACAAGUGAGUUAGAGUAAGGGAGAGGGAUGUCGGUCAAUAGGAAGUGAGUAAGAGAAGAAUUGUCAGUCGAUCGGCACAAUGAGUGAGGGAAAGGGCUAUCGGCAGUAAGGGUGAGUGAGGAAAGUGGCUGUCGGCAGUAAGGAGAGUGAGUGAGGGAUGCAAUGUGAUUUUAGAAUUAGGGUUUCAAUAUAAAAUUGUAUUUUUUAAAAUUAACUUAAUAUAAUAGAUAAUAAUAAUUUAAAUUGAGUAGAAUUAAUAAUAAUAACUUAA